CUUCUCUCUCUCCUCCGGUCCGGUCAGCUCCCCUGCAAGUCUUGCGAGAGCCGUGGGGUCAGAGGCACUCAGCGGCACUCAGACCGCGAGACUUACAGGGGAGCUGACAGGGGAGCUGACCGGACCGGAGGAGAGAGAAGGG
Molecule: non-coding RNA, 142 nt
Organism: Pelobates cultripes (western spadefoot toad)
Lineage: Eukaryota; Metazoa; Chordata; Amphibia; Anura; Pelobatidae
Source: the annotation of a GenBank genome assembly